RNA transcript from Thunnus maccoyii (southern bluefin tuna), 2773 nucleotides. It is a transcript of the gene named F-box only protein 33, with no coding region annotated. The record is from RefSeq and is a predicted model, not a curated record. The transcript is spliced from 7 exons. Lineage: Eukaryota; Metazoa; Chordata; Actinopteri; Scombriformes; Scombridae.
CGGUUUGUUUUCACCGAGAGGAAGAAGCGCUGCGGACAUUUACCGCCGCAGCACCGAUUUUUAAAAAACGGUUGUAACAGUUGUUUUAUAUCUGGUUGCCUCUCACACACAGCGGCUUUCUUAGCUCGCCAUGGCUCUGUGCGGGGGUGUUGGAGCCAUGGCUUUGCCCAGCGAGCUUAUCGUCCAUAUAUUCUCCUUUCUGUCCGACCGAGACAAGCUCCGGGCCUCGGCCGUGUGCUCCCGGUGGAGGGAGUGUCUCUUCUACCCCGCUCUGUGGACCGAGCUGAAACUGCGGAUAGGUGGUGGUUGUAACAACGGCUCCGGCUCCUCCGAGGAGACCUCGAGACUGGAGUUCCUCAUGCGGAAAUUCGGUUCUUUCGUGCGGGAGCUGCAGCUGGAACUCGCCCCAGUGGAGGGUUAUCUCAGCCCGCUGAACAACGACCCGUCCUCCCCCCGGAUGGACCAGCCUCCCGGUGCAGACAGCGACCCGCAGCUCUCCGAGCGAUGGAGAGACGCCAUGGCCACCUACUUGGACCAGGUGUUGUGUGUGUUUACCAGCAUUCGCAACAACAGGAACCUGCAGAAGUUGAGCCUGUAUGGAGACACCUGUAUCCUCCAGCAAAAGGGACUAUUGGACAGCUCCAACCUGCACCAGAUUCACCAGGGGGACAAAAAGAUCAACGAAAUCCAGCAGUUGUUCAUGGAGUUGUUGUCCAACAGCAGGCAGCUGAGGUGGUUGUCCUGUAGUUUCAUGCUGGGUCUGGUGACUCCCUGCUCCUUAGCCUGUCUGUCAAAUCCUUCAGCUGAGACCCUGCAACACCUCAGUUUACUGGACCACCAGCUGGGUCCCCUCAUCUCACCAUCAGAGUUGGAUCGUCUCUCUAAUCUUCAUUCUCUGGCUCUGGAUUUCUCUGAUCUGACUUCUGAGCUUUGUGGUCUGCUGGCAUCUCCACGCCGUACUCCACUGCAUCGCCUUUCCCUGCUGCUGAACGGCGCCGCCCUGGAGUUCAAACCAUUAGAAGGGACAGCUACAGAGGAUGACUGGAAGGCACUGGUCCGUGUGAGUGCCAACCUGCGAGUGUACAUCAUGACCCUGGAGGUCGACAGCUCAGAGCUCCUCAGGGUCCUAAAGCCCAGCCUUCCUCUGGAGCGCCUCCAUCUUGACAGUUACAGCACACUGGUGACCGACGCCACCUUGGAGCUCAUCUCUCAGCAAUACAACAAAACGCUGACUCACUUCCUGCUCCUGAGGGAUGACCCCGACUUCCCCGACCUCAGUGUCAAUCGCAACGAAGAUCCGUUGGUCCUCUUGGCAUGGAGAUGUACUCAGCUGGCUGUACUGGUGAUACAUGGUUACACUGUGUGGUCCCAUAACUUGGUGGCCAUCUCUCGACUGCGAGGCUCCAGUCUCCGUGUCCUGACCGUGUCUGAGGAGAGCAUCGACUUCGACCCGGACCAGUCUGUGUACAUGGAGGGUGACCCAGUCCACAACCUGGUCAAGGAGGUGUCGCUGGGCCUCGGCCGUGUCUGGCACCCUUGCUUGGAUUCCACCAUGAUGUUGUCUGAACCCACCCAGCACUUCCACCGCGAGCUCCACGCCUUCAGCAUGGGCAUGUAGGCAGGGACGGCCGACCCAACACAUCACGGCCUAAACUGUGUCAAGACCAGGCCAGACCAACCAGGUCCAUGUCAGCUCAUACCUCUGAAUGGGCCAAAAGCAGACUCAAAUCUUUUGAUUCUGGUCAGCCAGCCCAGCGACAGCAGCGGUGACGGCGGGCUCACUCUUGGUCUCUGUGAGACUGGCUAGACGGCCCCAGUUUUAUUGUGGUACGAAUGUUGUGCAUUUGUUUAAAAUCAGGACAGUUUGCAAUAACAGCAGUCGUACUAGUGGCCACAAAGGGGCACGAGCAGUGCUGACAGCGCCCGGCUGCGUCUUUAGAAAACCAUAGAGGAAGAGAUAUAAACUAUAUGAAUAGAUAUAUAAACUCACACAGUGCAUAUUUGUAUAGGUAUCAACAAUUCAUUACCGUAGUAUUCUCUUAUGCAACACAUGUCCGGGUUCAAUUUAUGAACAUGAAGUAUAUUAUGAAAUCACACAGACUUUGUAAAUCAGAAGCGAUGUUGUUUUGUGUGUUUUGCAAAAAUGGUUUUACCAUCCUUAAUGUUGAACAUUCUGAGCGUUACGUUCCUGUGUGAUUGUGUUUGUUAAAGUGAGCACAUAGCAGUGGGUCUUACCUUCUUUUCUGUUAGCAAGGAACAAGACUUCACCCAAAACACAGCUGGACCAGAUUUCAAAUACAUUUGAGUACUUUUCUAAAACGUUCAAUCCGAUCUGCUCUGAAGUUUUUAACUCAACUAAAUUAUAUCUACAUGUUUCAAACAGGUUCAAAGAGUUUCCUCCAGUGUCAAUACAAAACUGCUUUUUAAUUGAGGACUUUUCUAAAUUUAAGACUCAAAUCAUAUGAACCUUUUUGAUUUGAAACCUUCCCAGCAGUUUUUUGGUCUAGUCUGCAGGAAAAAGAGUCCUCUUACUUGGUGUGGAACCGAGCUCACCAGCCGAGAGGACAGAUUUUAUCAUUGAGAACAGUGUUGAUCCAUGUUGGUUCUGUUGCGGAGAAAAAGGGAGGGUUCACGCAAGCCUCCAUGUAAAACCUCUUAACUGACAGAUGGCGUACACUUUGAGGGGGUCAACCUGCCGAAUGUUGAUUUGAAUCAGUGUUGAAUGAAUGCUUCUCUUCUUUUUAGUCAGUGAAUAAAAGCAUCAAAAAAGCAU